GAUGAACGCUGGCGGCGUGCCUAAUACAUGCAAGUCGAGCGAACGGACGAGAAGCUUGCUUCUCUGAUGUUAGCGGCGGACGGGUGAGUAACACGUGGAUAACCUACCUCUAAGACUGGGAUAACUUCGGGAAACCGGAGCUAAUACCGGAAGAUAUUUUGAACCGCAUGGUUCAAAAGUGAAAGACGGUCGUGCGGUCACUUAUAGCUGGAUCCGCGCUGCAUUAGCUAGUGGGUACGGUAACGGCUUAGCAAGGCAGCGAUGCAUAGCCGACCUCAAAGGGUGGUCGCCCACCUUGGAACUGAGGCUCGGCCCCCACACCUACGGUAGGCCGCAGUCGGGACUCUUCCGCGAUGGGGCAGUGCGUGACGGUGCAACGCCGCGUGAGUGAUGAUGGUCUUCGGAUCCUAAAACUCUGUUAUCAUUGAAGAACAUAUGUGUAAGUAACUGUGCACAUCUUGACGGUACCUAGUCAAAAAGCCCCGGCUAACUCCGUG
This 497-nucleotide ribosomal RNA is filed under the name uncultured bacterium. RNAcentral describes it as "partial 16S ribosomal RNA". It matches the Rfam family "Bacterial small subunit ribosomal RNA", at positions 28 to 507 of the family's 1533-position model. The record is from RNAcentral.